AUACGGAGGGUGCAAACGUUGUUCGGAAUUACUGGGCGUAAAGCGCGCGUAGGCGGUUUGUUAAGUCAGAUGUGAAAGUCCACAGCUCAACUGUGGAAGUGCAUUUGAAACUGUCAGACUUGAGUACUGGAGGGGGUGGUGGAAUUCCCGGUGUAGAGGUGAAAUUCGUAGAUAUCGGGAGGAAUACCGGUGGCGAAGGCGACCACCUGGCCAGAUACUGACGCUGAGGUGCGAAAGCGUGGGGAGCAAACAGGAUUAGAAACCCUUGUAGUCC
RNAcentral lists this ribosomal RNA (274 nucleotides) under uncultured bacterium. RNAcentral's name for it is "partial 16S ribosomal RNA". It matches the Rfam family "Bacterial small subunit ribosomal RNA", at positions 523 to 796 of the family's 1533-position model. The record is from RNAcentral.